This is a long non-coding RNA of Ailuropoda melanoleuca (giant panda), 2916 nucleotides long. RefSeq lists it as uncharacterized. NCBI's taxonomy places the organism in Eukaryota, Metazoa, Chordata, Mammalia, Carnivora, Ursidae. The record is from RefSeq and is a predicted model, not a curated record. The transcript has 4 exons.
GGGAGAGAGGGUGAUAGCAUGAGGAAGAUGUGGACAUAAGCUUCUUUUUCUUCCAAGAUGGAAGAUGUUCACAGGAUGUUAAGAAUAAUUCUGCAGAGAGAUAAAUACUGAUUUAGAAGACCAAAGAGAGAUAGACCAAAAGGCUGGAGUCCUUGGGACAUUGUAAGAAGCAGUUGUUGUGAGAGUGAUCUACCUCGAUGCUAAGAGAGAAGGAAUGAAAGAUGAGUGUGUGGAGGAGGUGCGGGCAAGAUGGAGCCAAGGAGCCCACAGGUGUUGGGGCCUGAUGGGAGCCCAGGCCGUCCGGCCCCAGAAGCCACUUCCAACCCCCACUCCUUUAGCCUCCCUGCAUCUUGUGGCUCACCCUCGACCCGAAGUACCUGACAACAGCGCCGUGCGGCGAGUCCUAUCGCAAACCAGCACAGAGUGGGCGCCCAAUAAAUACUUGCUGAAAGAAGGCAAAUGAACAAAUGCAAAAAUAUGGUUAAAAAAACCACACGCGGGGGCAAGUCAUCGGGGAAAUGGCCUGGGGGCUAUUCAUCAUAUUCUCCAGUCCAAGAAAAAUGUGAUAAGUUGGACACUUUUGCAUGUUCCAGAAGAAAAAAUGACUGUUCUGAGCACAGAGCCCUAAAUCCUUCUGUGUCCAGACAUGUGAUGGACCAGAGCCAAAAGCCAAUGUACAUCUGAAAAGAACUCCCUCGAAUGAAUAUAUUUACAUUUAUUCCAUAAACCUGCGCUUCCUUUCCAAGCAAUGACAUCCAUCAGCCACUCUUCAAAGUCACUCUCGCUGAGUCUUGGAGCCCGUGUUUACUUCAUCAGCUGCUCGAAGUGAAAAUCUCGAGGGCCUCCAGCAGGGAAAAUCAGUUUCAAGUGUUUUUAAAGCUCAGUUCUUGAUAGCAUUGGAGCUGGCUCAUCAUGAAGAAAAUUAAGACCUCCAGCCUCUAGAACUGUGAGAACAUCAGCUUCUAUUGUUUAAGCCGCCCAGCCAGUGGUCCAUUUUCAAGGCAGCCCUAAAAACUAGAACAUUUCCCUCGCGGGAGCACAGCAGGAAAAUCUGCAGAGGAUGGAGGAAAGGAAAUCAGCCUGAACGACAGGUCUGUAGACGGGAACGGGAAUUCCUGGUACGGGGUAGGAGAUACUCAUUUGAACCAGAUGAAAUUGCUGAUACUUGACUUCUUCUGGACCAUACAAGCGGCAAUUUCACAUGGUUCAGCCCCAUAUUAGCAAGGGGCCUGGAGCAAGAGUGUGGCUCCCUAUCACAAUGGUGAAUGAUGACAGACCGUGAUAGACCCUCAUGGUCACAAAGUAUCCACCCUAUUCCGUGACUGGGGGCAAGUUUCCUCUCAGACCCUCAGUUUCUUCUUCUAUGAAAUGAGGACAAAAACUUGUACUUACCUCACAUGAUUGUUGGGAGCUUAAAAGUAGAUGAUGCCCAUAAGUGCUUAGCACAGGGCCUGGGACAUAGUCAGAGAGCUCAAUACAUGUUAGGAUAGCUUUAAGGACUCGCCAUGAUGCAGGCAAUAAGAGCUAAAUCAAAAUAGCUUCAGAGGAAAAGGAGGAUGGUUGGAAGGACAAGGUGCCUCACAGAACACAAAGAAAGAGCUUAGUUCGGUGGUUCUCAAAUGGGGAUGAUUUUGCCCUCCGGGGGAUAUUUGGCAACGUCUAGAAAUAUUGUUGGUUGCCACAACCACGGAGGUGCUACUGGCAUCUAGUGGGUAGAAGCCAGAGACGCCACUCAACAUCCUACAAAGCCCAGAACAGCCCCACGACAAAGAGUUUUCUGGUCUCAAAUGUCAACGGUGUUGUUAUUGAGAAACCUCUGACCAACAGCUGGGGAGUGACCAGGAGGUGACUCAAGAUCGAUGUGUCCUGGCCUUUAAGUUUUUGUCUCCUGGCCCCAAGCUCUCCUCUCCCCUCUUCUCUGUGAUGCUGGGGUUGAGUCUCUACAAGUCACAUUUCUGCUUUGCUGACUGGUUCCAUGUCAGGCUCUGUCAAAGGCAAGGGAUGCUAGAGUCUGGGAGAUUGGAGGAGGUGAAGGGCUCAGCCCUGCCAGUUGGCUUGCUGCUCCGGACUGUCUCUACCCCAGCACCCAGCUGGUUCCAGUAGUGAUUGAUUCCAGUUUCUAGCUUUGUUUUGUACACCUGUAACCUUCCUCAUGGUGACCCCUCAGAGAUAUCGGUGCCAGCCAGCCAGCACCCUCUCCCUGAGGUCAGCCCAUGGAGACUUCUAGUGAGUUCUAGAGGCACCAGCACUAACAGGACAGUCCCCUUUAGAGGUUUGAGUCACAGAUGUGCACACCGCUCUUCCAAACCUAUAGGUUCUGGUAAUUCCAACUUCUUCCAUUUGUUCCCUUAGCCUUAUGGAUAUCAGUUACCUCCUGACAUUAUUCUCUUUGUUUGAUUUCAGUGUUCCCUUUUUGCCUCUAGAACUUCACGAUACCUUUUAGCCAAUGCUCAUUACGGGCAUACCUAGGAGAUCUUGCUGGUUCAGUUCCAGCCUACCACAAUAAAGCAAAUAUCGUGAUAAAGUAAGUCGAAUGAAUUUUUUGGCUUCCCAGUGCACAUAAAAGUUGUAUUUGUACUAUGCUCUAGUUUAUGAAGUGUCCAAUAGCAUUAUGCUAAAAAAUAAUGUACCUACCUUAAUUAAAAAAUACUUUAUUGCUAAAAAUGCUAUCAUCUGCUUUCAGUGAGUUGUAAUUAUUGAUCACAGAUCACCACAGCAAAUAGAAUAAAGAGAAUUUUGAAAUAUUGUGAGAAUUAUCCAAAUGUGACAAGAGACAAAGUGAGAAAAUGCUGUCGGAAAAAUGGUGCUGAUACAAAUUAUGGAAGCAGCCCAAGUGUCCAUCGAUAGAUGAAUGGAUAAAGAUGUGGUGUACAUAUACAAUGGAAUAUUAUUCAGCCAUAAAAAGAAUGAAAUCUU